UAAGGAAUAUUGCUCAAUGGGAGAAAUCCUGAAGCAGCAACGCCGCGUGGAGGAUGAAGGGUCUAUGACUUGUAAACUCCUGUAAAGAAGGAAAAAAUUCCCAUUAGAUGGGAGAUGAUGGUACUUCUGGAGUAAGCCCCGGCUAACUACGUGCCAGCAGCCGCGGUAAUACGUAGGGGGCAAGCGUUGUCCGGAUUUACUGGGUGUAAAGGGUGCUCAGGCGGAUUUGUAAGUCAGAGGUGAAAUCUUACAGCUUAACUGUGAAACUGCCGUUGAUACUGCAAGCCUAGAGUAUGGAAGAGAGUGAUGGAAUAUCUGGUGUAGCAGUGAAAUGCGUAGAUAUCAGAUAGAACACCAAUGGCGAAGGCAGUCACUUGGUCCAUUACUGACGCUAAAGCACGAAAGCGUGGGUAGCAAACA
This 420-nucleotide ribosomal RNA is filed under the name uncultured bacterium. RNAcentral's name for it is "bacterial SSU rRNA". It matches the Rfam family "Bacterial small subunit ribosomal RNA", at positions 355 to 774 of the family's 1533-position model. The record is from RNAcentral.